RNAcentral lists this ribosomal RNA (524 nucleotides) under uncultured Massilia sp. RNAcentral's name for it is "bacterial SSU rRNA". It matches the Rfam family "Bacterial small subunit ribosomal RNA", at positions 352 to 869 of the family's 1533-position model. The record is from RNAcentral. Lineage: Bacteria; Pseudomonadati; Pseudomonadota; Betaproteobacteria; Burkholderiales; Oxalobacteraceae.
CAGUGGGGAAUUUUGGACAAUGGGCGAAAGCCUGAUCCAGCAAUGCCGCGUGAGUGAAGAAGGCCUUCGGGUUGUAAAGCUCUUUUGUCAGGGAAGAAACGGUUCGGGCUAAUAUCCUGAGCUAAUGACGGUACCUGAAGAAUAAGCACCGGCUAACUACGUGCCAGCAGCCGCGGUAAUACGUAGGGUGCAAGCGUUAAUCGGAAUUACUGGGCGUAAAGCGUGCGCAGGCGGUUUUGUAAGUCUGACGUGAAAUCCCCGGGCUCAACCUGGGAAUUGCGUUGGAGACUGCAAGGCUAGAAUCUGGCAGAGGGGGGUAGAAUUCCACGUGUAGCAGUGAAAUGCGUAGAGAUGUGGAGGAACACCGAUGGCGAAGGCAGCCCCCUGGGUCAAGAUUGACGCUCAUGCACGAAAGCGUGGGGAGCAAACAGGAUUAGAUACCCUGGUAGUCCACGCCCUAAACGAUGUCUACUAGUUGUCGGGUUUUAAUUAACUUGGUAACGCAGCUAACGCGUGAAGUAGAC